Homo sapiens (human) is the source of this 2762-nucleotide long non-coding RNA. Lineage: Eukaryota; Metazoa; Chordata; Mammalia; Primates; Hominidae. The record is from Ensembl.
GAUGGAACUUCCGCCUGCCAUGUGACCGGCGGGUGUUCUACAAGGGCUGACCAGUGGGCGGGACAGAACGCAAAGGGCGAUAUUAAAAGCCGGACUCUUCCGGUGAAGCGGAGGUGUGGUGGGGCUUGCUGGGAUCAUGGCGGGGAAUCACUGCGAGCUCCUGCCGCUGGCCCGUGGCAGGCUCGGGGCGGGGUUGGGGUGGCUUCUUGUGCCUCCCUUAAAGCGCGGGGCUCAGCGUCCUGGCCCAGCGCCCCAGCAGCAGGUCCAAGUGGGUCCGGCUCUACAGCGGCGGCACCUACUUCCUCACCACUGGGCAGACGCCGCUGUGUCAGGACCCGAAAUCCUUCCUGUACCUCUUGAGCCAGGCCGACCCCGACCCGGACUCGGACAAGACGGAGUUUUGUUCUUGUUGCCCAAGCUGGAGUACAAUGGCACAAUCUUGGCUCACCACAACCUCUGCCACCUGGGUUCAAGCGAGUCUCCUCCUUCAGUCUCCUGAGUAGCUGGGAUUACAGGCAUGCACCACCACACACAGCUAAGUUUUAUAUUUUUAGUAGAGAUGGUUUCACCAUGUUGGCCAGGCCAGUCUCAAACUCCUGACCUCGUGAUCCGCCCACCUUGGCCUCCCAAAGUGCUGGGAUUACAGGUGUGAGCCACCACACCCAGCCAAUUAGGGCUGUCUUACAAAAAAAAAAACCACCACGAACCUUUGCGAGAAUCGAGCGCAGCCUGUGCUGGUUGUGUAAGCCGUGGGACACACGGGAAAGCCAGGAAGAAGAGGAAGAGCACCCCCACACCCCACCCGCGUGAAGAAGAGCAACCCCACUCCCCGCCCGUGGGAAGAAGAGCACCCUCACGCCGGGCCCGCAGGAAGAAGAGCACCCCCACGCCCGGCCCGCAGCAUCCCGCUGGCUUCCUGGCCACCUCUCCUCACCCAUCUUAGAGGCAUGGCCGGGCUGGGGCAUCUUUCCCUCCUUGGGCAGGAUGAAACAGGCGCCUAUUUAAUCGACAGAGACCCCACCUACUUUGGGCCUGUGCUGAACUACCUGAGACACGGCAAGCUGGUGAUUAACAAAGACCUCGCGGAGGAAGAUGAUACCACGAGUCAACCCAAAAGUUGCUGGGGAGAAGUUGCUCUUUAAUGAAUUGCAUCUCAUGAAUGUAUCAGGCUGUGACCUUUCUGCACUCUCUAAUGAGUUCAUGAAUUUAGGCCAAUUAUGGCCACAAAUGCUGCUGCUGUCACAGAGAGAUGCCGGAUAAAGAACACCCACCACCAGUCUCUGAACAGGGAGGGGAGAAUCAACUCUGAAUGUGAUGUAGUGGCCAGGAGAGAGGACCAUGUUCAACAACGCCACACAGAUGCAAAUGACUUGUUUCUUCAACAAACUGCAAGGGAAAAAAUAAAAAUGGGGGAAGCUACAGAUUAAAAUACAUGUGUUUGGAUAGGAGAGUAUUUAAUGGCAAAAGAAAAAGAAAAAAUUUAAAAAUGAAAUUGUGCAAAACUUAUUUGAAUCCUGUUCAAGUGAGCAACAAAACAUUAUGAUGUACAUGAGACAACUGGAAAUAUAACUCUGACUGGACACUUUGAGAUAUUAAGCAAUUACCGUUCAUUUUUACAUAUCAAACAGUAUGGUAUUGUGGUUACGCUUUUAAAAAGAUUUGUAUUUUAGCGACACAUACUGGAAUUUUUACAGGGAAAACCCACUGAGGAUGCUGGGCAUCAGGUCACUAGCACCGAGUGAAUUUUUUACAAUAAGCAGUAAUUCUCCCCAGCCCCAUGCAUCAUAGCCAAUCCUAAAUGAAUGCCAAUCUGGAAAAGACCAAAAUAAACCACGUGAAGAUGGGAAGAGCUGCUCUUGGUGAUGGGAGAAUGGGGACUCUCUCUUUUAUUGUGCAAACUCCACUUUCCAUCAUGCAGGAAAAUCCGUCUUGAAGGCAGCUCCUCUCUGUGCCGGGGGUGGGUGAUCCAGCCUAAGCUAGAAUGGCGGCAAGCUCAAGGCAGCUGUGGCCCUCAGGAGAGCGUCUGGAGUCCACAGCACAGUGGGAAGCGCAACGGCAGCUAGUCUGAGGGUCUGGACGAUGGCCAUGCACAGAUGAGGACAGAGGAGCCACUGUAGUGACUGAAGCCCACGGCAUCCACCCUCUCCAGCCAGCCCCGCCCACACCUGAAGCCCACAGCGUCCACCCUGUCCACCCAGCCCUGCCCACACCUGUGGCCUUCCUCUCCUUCCUGUUUGGUGAGUGCUGCCUCCACACCUGGCUGCAUGCCAGAAAGGCCUGCACAGGUCAGAACACAGGUUUCCAAACCCUACUCCAAGUCUGAACCUCCAAGGACACCCCGAGCUCCCCAAGGUUCUUGCAUAGAGGGCACAGGCCAGAGACAGCCCAGGUGGGAAGCUUACUCUGAGUCAGCUGCCCUCACCAAGAUACAUCCACAGGCUCCUGUACAAGGAGAGGAGGCAGAAGUCCCUCUCUGCCAGGAGGUCCUCCUCAAUCUCCCAAGCCCACACCACUGCCCUGCUCCAUCUCCCACCACCUCCCCCUGCAGAUACGGGGGCCACCCUACCCACCCCACAGGAACGAUGGGAAAACCUGCCUCCCUCUAGGAGGAGGGCGUGGCACAGCUGCUGCGCGGGUAAGGAACCUCGCUAUGCCUUGCUCCCAUCAACACUUUUAUUCUAGAUUUGAAGGUGUUUUGGGGAAGCCAUCUCUGCACAAAAGAAGUCAACGCAGGAAUAAAUUCCAAGAUACUGAACUACCUC